Molecule: ribosomal RNA, 443 nt
Filed under: uncultured eukaryote
Lineage: Eukaryota
Description: partial 18S ribosomal RNA
Rfam family: Eukaryotic small subunit ribosomal RNA
Source: RNAcentral
CAAUAGCGUAUAUUAAAUUUGUUGCAGUUGAAAAGCUCGUAGUUGGAUUUUGGGGCGUCGUACGAUCGGUCGCCACACAAUUACGGCCCGUUCGCGGGUCUGUGUGGAUUUGAACCGAACUCGUGCCGUCCUUUUCCUUCCGUAGACAGCGUCUGUUCUUCAUUGAAUGGGCGUGAUAAAGCUUCGGCUUUGGAUGCGGAUCGUUUACUUUGAAUAAAUUAGAGUGUUUAAAGCAGGCAUUACUAAACCCAUUUUGGGGCUUGAAUACAUUAGCAUGGAAUAAUAGAAUAGGACUUGGGCUUCUAUUUUGUUGGUUUCUAGAACCGAAGUAAUGAUUAAUAGGGAUAGUUGGGGGCAUUAAUAUUUAAUAGCUAGAGGUGAAAUUCUUGGAUUUAUUAAAGAUUAACUUCUGCGAAAGCAUUUGCCAAGGAUGUUUUCAUUAA